CGGAGGAUCCAAGCGUUAUCCGGAAUCAUUGGGUUUAAAGGGUCCGUAGGCGGUUUAGUAAGUCAGUGGUGAAAGCCCAUCGCUCAACGGUGGAACGGCCAUUGAUACUGCUAGACUUGAAUUAUUAGGAAGUAACUAGAAUAUGUAGUGUAGCGGUGAAAUGCUUAGAGAUUACAUGGAAUACCAAUUGCGAAGGCAGGUUACUACUAAUGGAUUGACGCUGAUGGACGAAAGCGUGGGUAGCGAACAGGAUUAGAUACCCUGGUAGUCCACGCCGUAAACGAUGGAUACUAGCUGUUGGGAGCGAUCUCAGAGGCUAAGCGAAAGUGAUAAGUAUCCCACCUGGGGAGUACGUUCGCAAGAAUG
Molecule: ribosomal RNA, 366 nt
Filed under: uncultured organism
Description: bacterial SSU rRNA
Rfam family: Bacterial small subunit ribosomal RNA
Source: RNAcentral